GCUGUAAUCCCUUGACUUGGAUCUGGACCGCCCAUCUAGCGAUCUUCUAUCCCUUCAUCUUUUGCCAUCACCAUCUCCAAUCACCAUCAUAGCCAAGUUGCUACCUAAACUUGAAAUUCGAUUCUCUCACUUGAGAAUUUUAUUCUAAAAAAGUACAGAAGUGAUCUCAUCUAUCUUGAUGGUGCUCUUCUCUAUAACA
This 199-nucleotide long non-coding RNA is filed under the name Elaeis guineensis (African oil palm). RNAcentral's name for it is "long non-coding RNA (EGUI_LNC002915)". The record is from RNAcentral. Lineage: Eukaryota; Viridiplantae; Streptophyta; Magnoliopsida; Arecales; Arecaceae.